This is a long non-coding RNA of Stomoxys calcitrans (stable fly), 601 nucleotides long. RefSeq lists it as uncharacterized. Lineage: Eukaryota; Metazoa; Arthropoda; Insecta; Diptera; Muscidae. The transcript has 2 exons. The record is from RefSeq and is a predicted model, not a curated record.
AAAUGAGGGUGCAAAUGAGAACCAUAACCCUGUAUAGGUUAUUCAAUGGCUAGUUUUAUUUUGGUUUUAUACUCGGAUUGGCAACACAAGACAAUUUUUCUGUAAAUGCCCGAGGACUUUAAGGCAGUGAAGACUAUUGAAAGGACUUUUCUAAAGCUAACAUCUUUAUAAUUUUGCAACACAUAGCAAUUACUCUGAGCUCUAUUCAACUGAAUGUUAUUCAUUCAUGGAAUGCUAUGGAAGAAGCCACUUGAAAGCAGCAAUCAAAGGUGGACCAAUGGUGUUGUAUGCUCCAUACACACAGAGACCUAAUGAAACCUGAGUAAAACCAUUCACCUUUAAGUGCUCUUCAAAUACUACUCUAGUGCCACAUAUCAUAAUAAGGAGUGCAAUACAACAGAAUGGGAUGGAGGCCAGUGAUUAUGAGAAAAGUUUGGGUGAAGAAAUAUGAAAUUCGGAACUAAUUUUGAUGGACCUCGGCUGAUGUUUUCAGAUGGGUUAUUAAACAAUCCGUAUCAAAUUUCGAGCAAAUAUGUUCAAACUGUAAUAACUAUGGUUGACAAAUUACAAAAUUUUUGCGAACUACGCAAAAUCUGACAAA